Cottoperca gobio is the source of this 2362-nucleotide long non-coding RNA. Lineage: Eukaryota; Metazoa; Chordata; Actinopteri; Perciformes; Bovichtidae. The record is from Ensembl.
UCAAACUUUACACAUAAAGCUUUGACACAGAAUAGAGAAACCUGACAGAGCAGGAUGUUUCUGUGCACAGUCAUCCGAAUAUAAACCCAACAUGUGCCGAACCUGGUUAUCCAAGUUAUGAUGAGCACAAAGGUCCAGCGCCAAUAAAGAAAUGUACAGACACUGCUCGGGUUAUUUCUACAGGUGCUGCACCUGCACCUGCACCUCCUACCAGCAGGUUUACAGUAAUCCUGGUGGCUGGACUGAAAUAGAGAUGAUAUAAUCUUUAUAUCAUGAUAUUUGAAUGAUUGUAUUUUGCAUGUUAAGGAUUAUCGAGGGUUUGCUAUGAAAUUGUAAUGAAGCAGCACAUUUCUUGAAACUUAAUACUUUUCUUUUCUUGUCAUGAAUAUUCUCAUCAGUGUUUCUUCCAUUCGUCAGUGUCCUGUGCUUUUGACCCUUGACCCGUUUGGCUGCUUGUAAUCUUGCUGAACAAGGUGUUGAUGCUUCUUCUACGAGUCACUCUGGUCAUUCUGGAUGAAUGGAAGACGACACAAAGGCACCUGACAAGCCUUAGUUGUGGCUGCUCAGCACUUCUGGAAGAAAAGGGGGUCUGUGCCUGGAUCAGGGGGUAUCAGGACGGAGCGAUGGAGGGAUGUUGUUGUGGAGGCAGGAUGAGGUCAGAGGGAAACGGAUCCAUCCAUUAGGGGUAUAAUGAGAGGGAGCAGCUGCCUGCCGCUGGGUCAGACAGCACACAGAUGUGAGGGAGCCUCAGGGCCCGACAGAGCCGAGGGGGAACGCAGGAGUCCUUGCGCCAUGACCUCAUUCCCAGAGCCAGGGCUCCCACCCAUGCCAGGACCGUCCACUGGCUGAAGACGGAGAUCAUCAAUGCCCUCAGCUCACCUGAGAGAGCCCCAUGAGUGCAGAACAUUCUGAACUGCUCGCGUGUUGCUUGGCUAAACUCUGAUCGACCUGGAGGGGCACAGCAUGCCAAACACUGAUCUCAGCGUCACCGCCACUGCCCAGCACUGCAGCUCGCAGUCAAAUACUCUCACGGGUGGUUGAAUUUUUGUAAGCUUCGCUAGCGUUAAAUGGGGUGUAGAGUACAUUCAAUUCUCUGUGUAUUUGUCUUUCACGUGAAGAGGUCAACAGAAGUGCCAGUUGGUGUCAUGGUGUAAUUUUCACUUCUGGACAUUUUGUACAGAAAAAUCGGCGGACAGAAUCUGCAGCAAGAAGUCAACAACUACGAGAACAAUGUGGCAGAAGUUUAUUUUCAAACAAUGAACACUACAUGCACAAUAUUUUUGUACGCAAAUAAGUUUGAUUAUUGCGCUGUGUUUAAGCGUGUUUGUGCUGAGUUUUGGUGGCGGAUUGUAGUGUGGGAAGAGCAGUAGCAGCAGGAUGAGUCCUCUUCGCUUUCGAUGACUCGAUGUCUACAACAAAAGAAUCCUUCUUUUUAACCCCUUAAAGGACUAGUUCAACAUUUUAGGAAAUACGUAAAUAUUCUCUUUGUUUCCCAGAGUAUGUUAUUCAGGAUUAAAGGUGCUAGGUGAUUUUAUUUCUGCUACCUUUGGACAGAGCCAGAGUAGCUGGCCUCCAGACUUUAUGCUAAGCUAGGCUAACCAUCUCCUGGCUGUAGCUUUGUAUUUAACGCACCAAUGUGAGAAUGGUAUCGAUCUUCUCUGAAUAUUUCCCAAAGAAACUAUUCCUUUAACAAGCAGCAGCUGGAACUGGACUGGAACAAAAUUCUAGUGGAGAUCCCGAAGUUUCUAAAGAUACCAAAUAUGUUGGGCUAAUUUUGGCGAACAAUAUCAUCGAAGAAAUAUUUAAAACAAGCUGAUACACAAUAUUUAUUUGGAAUGAGAUUUUUUACAACCUUAAAGCCACCUAGAGGGAAUUGGCAUUAUUAUUGUUAUUGUCAUUACUUCCUAUUGUAUUGUAAACACACUACUAAUAAUGUAUAAGGGAGCACACAUGUAACACACAAGCCUGUGCACAAACACACUUACACGUCUGCGACACUGCAGCGUGUUUAUGGUUAAGUAACUCACACAAACAUCUGUUAUACACACACAGACAUAAAAGAAUCAUAGAUGAGGACAUACAUGCAUGCACACACACGUACACCUCUGCAAAACACACUGAUUUAUACCCUUCAGAUCCCUCACUGCUGCUGGUGCUGUAUGCUCAGGUGACGACACUUAUUUUGCACACACACACACACACACUGAAGUAGGAACAGUGAUUCUUGGAGGUGUUGACACACGCAGCCAUUUCAGAUGACUGUGCAGCUGACAGUCGGUGGUGAGUUGAGUGUUGUUCCCUCUGCUGUUACAGGCCCCUGCUGUCUCUCUCUCACACGAUGACAUCCAGCUUAGUCACUCAA